GCUUACGGCCACACCGCCUGGUUCACGCCCGAUCUCGUUUGAUCUCGGAAGCUAAGAUAGGUUGGGCCUGGUUAGUACUUGGAUGGGAGACCGCCUGGGAAUACCAGGUGCUGUAACGC
This 119-nucleotide ribosomal RNA is filed under the name Scophthalmus maximus (turbot). The record is from RNAcentral. Lineage: Eukaryota; Metazoa; Chordata; Actinopteri; Pleuronectiformes; Scophthalmidae.